GCCCUUAGAGUUUGAUCCUGCCUCGGAACGAACGCUGGCGGCAGGCCUAACCCCUGCAAGUCGAGCGCACCCUUCGGGGCGAGCGGCGGNCGGGUUAGUCACGNGGGGGAACAUACCCUUNUCUNCGGAAUAGCCUCGGGAACCUCAGAUUAAUNCCGUAUNCNCCCUUNGGGGGAAAGAUUUUUUGGAGAUGGAUUGGCCCGNGUAAGAUUAGAUAGCUGGUGGGGUAAUGGCCUNCCACGUGUNCGAUCGUUACCUGGUCUUAGAGGANGAUCAGCAACCNUGGUCCUGAGACACGGCCCAGACUCNUACGGGAGGCAGCAGNGGCGAAUCUUAGCCAAUGGGCGCAAGCNUGAUCUAGCCAUGCCGCGUGUGUGAUGAAGGCCUUAGGGUCGUAAAGCACUUUCGCCAGGGANGANAAUGACAGUACNNGGNNAAGAANCCCCGGCUAACUCCGUGCCAGCAGCCGCGGUAAUAAGGGCG
Molecule: ribosomal RNA, 483 nt
Filed under: uncultured bacterium
Lineage: Bacteria
Description: partial 16S ribosomal RNA
Rfam family: Bacterial small subunit ribosomal RNA
Source: RNAcentral